GACGAACGCUGGCGGCUUGCUUAACACAUGCAAGUCGAGCGGAGCGGCGAACGGGUGAGUAACGCGUGAGUAACUGCCCCCCUCUCUGGGAUAACAGUUGGAAACGGCUGCUAAUACCGGAUAGUGGGGGAUGACUCGCGUACUUUCAGCUUGUUGGUGGGGGAGUGGCCUACAAAGGCGACGACGGGUAGCCGGCCUGAGAGGGCGACCGGACACACUGGGCUGAGAUACGGCCGCAACUCCUACGGGAGGCGGCACGGGUGAAUAGUGCACAUUGGGGGAAACCCUUAUGCAGCAACGCCGCUUGCGGGAUUACGGCCUUCGGGUUGUAAACCGCUUUCAGCCAUGACGCGGUAGUGGCAGAAGAAGCACCGGCUAACUACGUGCCAGCAGCCGCGGUAAUAC
RNAcentral lists this ribosomal RNA (405 nucleotides) under uncultured bacterium. RNAcentral describes it as "partial 16S ribosomal RNA". It matches the Rfam family "Bacterial small subunit ribosomal RNA", at positions 28 to 526 of the family's 1533-position model. The record is from RNAcentral.